This 115-nucleotide small RNA is filed under the name Marmota monax (woodchuck). The record is from RNAcentral. Lineage: Eukaryota; Metazoa; Chordata; Mammalia; Rodentia; Sciuridae.
GCUGGGCGUGGUGGCACAUGCCUGUAAUCCCAGCAACUCUGGAGGCUGAGACAGGAGAAUCGUGAGUUCAAAGCCAGCCUCAGCAAAAGCGAGGCACUAAGCAGCCCUGUCUCUA